Solanum lycopersicum (tomato) is the source of this 642-nucleotide RNA transcript. RefSeq lists it as uncharacterized. The record is from RefSeq and is a predicted model, not a curated record. Lineage: Eukaryota; Viridiplantae; Streptophyta; Magnoliopsida; Solanales; Solanaceae.
UUUUAUCUUCCUCCAGAAAGAAAAAAUCCCUACAACUUCCACACCUUUCCACUAGAACUAGAAUAGUCAGGAUAUUGUUUUUCCUCUUCAUCACACAACACAAAUCAAAGCUGAAAGAACGAAAAUUAUCCGAAAGUGGAGGAGAAAGUUGGAAAAGGGGGCUAUUGUUGCUUCCUCUCUUUAAUGUCUGUAAUUCCUUCUUUAUUAUAUGAAAAAUAAACAAAAAUUUGAUAUCCCCUUUCCUAUUUAAACAUCUUAAGAGAGAUCUCUUAAUCUUUGAUUAUUCUAUAGAACUUUCAAUCCUAAAGUGCGGAACAUCAGUAAUAGUACUACUAGUAAUAAUUGUUGCCAAAAUUUCAGUGCUAUUAUGGCGAUUUUCUUCUUUCUCUCACCAAAUUGAUAUUGGAGGAGAGAUUUGACAAGUAUCUUGGUUUGUUAACUUGGAGGAAAAGUGACCCUGCAAUUGGUGCUUGCAACCAUUGAGGUGAAUCCAGUCACUCUUGCCGAGUUACAUCUUCCUUCUGAAGAAGAACAUGGGAGAAUGCUUGCCAUACUAUUGUUAUGAUUCUGAACAUUUUGAGCCGCAAACGUGCCGUCAUCUUCGACUCAACAGUAACUCUAGCCAGUCUUCAUUACUCCAGA